Gasterosteus aculeatus aculeatus (three-spined stickleback) is the source of this 1496-nucleotide long non-coding RNA. The record is from Ensembl. Lineage: Eukaryota; Metazoa; Chordata; Actinopteri; Perciformes; Gasterosteidae.
CGAGGGGGGUGCAGGGAAGGAACGGCGGUGCGGUUGCGCGCAACAACAAGCGGAGUGCCGGUUAUCACACUAGGGGGCGAGCGAGAGCAGUGGGGCGGAAGUGAGACCGUUAAAUCAAACCACCGAGGAAGACGGGAACGUUAAACAGUGUAAUACGACUACUGGACGCGAGGGGCGAGCGAGAGCGAAAUGCAGGAAGUUGAGCCGCUCACUAAAGUUAAGGUAUAUCACCUCUAGUGUAUUAACAGUAAUACAAAUCAAUCAAUCAAAUGUAGGUAAAUUAUGCUUGAUAAUUGAAUAAACUUAAAGAAAAAUAACUGCAUAAAUCACAUCUCCAUUAAUGGGUUUGUGUCUCAAAAAGACGAAGCUUCGCACAGAAAGUUGUGGUACAAGCUGGUCUUUGCCUUGUAGGCUCUUGUUCAGUGAGUUCAGAUGACCAGUAAGAUAAACUAGAAAGGCAAUAAGGGAAUAAAACCGCUUCAGCACGGAGCCGCGACUAAGCCAGCGCACGUCACAAUGAUAGAGUACGUCCCCGUAUUCAGCAUCGACAUCAGAUAGGAAAGCUUAAUUCUCUGUGGUAGAGCCCUCGUGCUCAAAUUAUGUUGACAGUUUUCACAACUGUGGUCAUCACAUCGCCAAGCUGGACUGUCUUGGCACAGAGAGCUUCUUGGUGGAUGAUACAGUGCAAUUUUACAGCCUCGCCUCCACUCUCUGGCACCUUGGCGCACACCAUAGAUGCCAUUCCUUUGGGCUCGCCUGUCAUAGCGGGAGCCCCGUCCGUUGCAACUCCACACAGCUCGUCCCAUUUAAGUUCCAUCUUGUCAAUUGCACCUGACGCGGCUUCAAAAAUGUUCAAGCCCCCAUUGUUGUGCCCUUUAGACUCCGAAGAUCAAGCAGCUCCUCCGUAAUGCAAAAGUUAUCGUCAACUCCCCGCAAAGAAAUGAACAGUUGUGCGGCGUCUGUUGCAUCUUUCAUCACAUGCAAUGGAGUAAAAGUCAAAAGCACAAGCUUUAUGUGACACUUGAUUCUGUAUGUUAGCUGACAAGUCUUCCAUUCAACGCACAAUUGUGUUUGUGGACAUGCUCACGUUGUUGAAUUCCUGCAUCUUUUCCGGGCACAUUAUUCCAGCGACUUUAAUGAGGCACUGUUUAACCAAGUCACCGUCUGAGAAAGCUUUCCCGCGGCGCGCUAUGAGUUGAGCUACCUCAUAGCUAGCUAUUGUAGCGUUUUCUUGUGUUUGUUAGCAGGGUAAAAGUACUGUUGUUGAGCCUGCAGGUUAGCUGCCAUGUGCUGGACUUUGUCCUCUCGCUCAGCAGCAGUGUAGGACGUGAAGGUCGGAGGCUUGGUUUCGUAGUGUCGUCGCACAUUGGACUCUUUCAUCACUGCAACCGUUUCAUUGCAAAUCAAACAGACACACUUCUCCUUGACCUCUUUGAAGAAAUAUUCAUUUUCCCACCGUGUUUGAAAUGUUCUGCAUUCACUUGCUAUCUUGCGUU